ACUCCCUUUGUUAUUCUCCUUUGUAUUAAGUACUUUACCUGGUUCUGGUUCUGGUACUCCUCCUGUUAUUCUGUUCCAGGUGCUGGUACUCCCCUGUCAUUCAGUACCAGCAGAUAUUGAGAGGUACCAAUAUUCUGAAGAGAAAAGCAAAGAUGUGCUCGUACUUUGUACCGAAUGCCAAGGAAAUGCUUGCAAAGAACAUAUCCAAACCUAUUUGAGAGCCCAGUGAGAAAAACAACAGCUGACCACCAAAGAGACACAGCAUUAUCCAUGAAUCAUCUGCUGCAAUUGACCUGGAAACACCCUGAGAUCGACCAACAUGUUGGCCACCCCUGGCAUACAGACUAUAUUAUACCAGGGAAGAAACGGCGGUCCUCACAAGACUACUGGCCCACUGGGAAAAUACCAGAACUUUCUGAUGGCCAGUCCGCACCUGGAUUUCGAACUGAUUUGCUUUUCAUUAAUUCAGCCAGACACAAAUGGGCUCCUAAACAAGCAAAUCUGUAUUUCUUAAAAUUGAUAAUGAA
This is a non-coding RNA of Paramormyrops kingsleyae, 527 nucleotides long. NCBI's taxonomy places the organism in Eukaryota, Metazoa, Chordata, Actinopteri, Osteoglossiformes, Mormyridae. The record is from RefSeq and is a predicted model, not a curated record.